RNAcentral lists this long non-coding RNA (1782 nucleotides) under Equus caballus (horse). RNAcentral's name for it is "lncRNA (ENSECAG00000052553.1)". Lineage: Eukaryota; Metazoa; Chordata; Mammalia; Perissodactyla; Equidae. The record is from RNAcentral.
UUAAGUAGGUGAUUAAGUUAAAAUGAGUCAUUAGAGUGGGCUCUAAUCCAAUAUGACUAGUGUUGUUUUAAGAAGAGGAAGUUAGGACACAGACACAUACCGAGGGAAGAUGAUGUGAAGACACAGGGAGAAGACAGCCACCUACAAGGCAAGGAGAGAGGCCUCAGGAGAAACCAACCGUGCCAACAUUUUGAUCUCAAACUUCUAGCCUCCAGAACUCAUAGUGACCUGAGGAAACAUCUUUCCGGAAAGGUUCAAUCUUUCACAUUUGAAUGAUCCUUAUAUAUCCUCAAACUUUCCAGAAGACAACCUGUGGCUAUGUAUUUUUUCAGUUGGCUUGUGCAGCACUUCUCAAAGUGUGGUCAAUGGACUCCUGGGGAGAUCCUCUGUGGAGUCUGUGAGGUAUCAUGAAAAGAGGUAACACGCCGGUGAGGAUGUGCUACCGCGGGAACUCUCACAGAGGCCGACGGGAGCGGAACUUGGUCCAAUUGCUCUGGAAGCUGACUGAUGCUACUCGGUCCAGUAGAAGAUGCUCAUGCCCUGAGAUCCGGAAAUCCCAUUUCUAGGUAUCUUUUAUAGAAAAACUCUUGGAUGUGUGCACAAAGAGAUGAGGAAAAAACAUGAAUUGCAGUAGUUUUUGUAAUAGUGAUAAACUGCAAAGAUUUCCAAGGUGCAUCCACAGUAAAAUGGAUCGAGUGUGGUAUUUUCAUACAAUGGAACAUUAUAUAGCAACAAAAACUUCUAUGGCUACAGGCAAACAUGGAUGAAGUUCAAACAUAAUGUUGAGCAGGGGAGGGCAGCACAAGCUGACAGCAUCUGGUAUUUUCAGGUGGGCUCCCAUUCAGGUGCUCUCCCAAAAAAGCGGGUGGUGGGGGGAACCCCAUAAUGUUGAGAAAAAAAAGUCACAGAAAAAUAUAUCCAUUGUAAUUCCACUUACAUAAAGGUCAAACAUUAAACAUUAUAUUAUCCUGAAAUACAUAUAAAGUAAUCUAUUUUAAAAAGAAAGGGAAUGAUUGACCUGAGGAAGGCAUCCAGAGGUUUCAAAGGCAAGCUUAUAUUCUAUUUAUUAGCUUGGGUAGUGGAUAUACAAUCAUUUGUUUUAUCAAUGACCUUUAAAUUGUACACAUACUAAAUAUACCCUCUUGUAUGUAUAUUUUACAAUAUAAUAAAAGACAUCUAUCAGAAAAGAGACUGGACGAUUUUACAACUCCACGAUAACAUUAGUUGUGUUAGAUUGGUUACAGACUAUUUCUUUUUCCACAUUUUCUGUAAGGUGCUUUUAUUAUUUUCAUAAUUAAAAUAUAUUAAAGUAAUCCAUUUAUAGGGAAACAGCAAUAUUCUUAGUCUAAAUAAGUCACAAAAUAUAACUUGAAGUAGUUUGAGUUAGGAUAAUGAAUUUCACAAAUAUUUGAGAAACGUGGGUGUUAAAAGAACACCCUGAAGGUGGAAGUUCUAUGAACAUGUACUCUUGAGUAGCUCAGAUGCUGCUAAUCUGUUCUUAGGGCAGAAGCUGCUCACUGUUAAAAAUGAAUGUAACAUUCCGAGUUGAAAGAAGACACAGUUCCAUAGCAGAAGCAACUCUUUUAGAAGCAGCUAAGAAUCACGUCUUCUGUACAGAGUUACCUAAUCUCUCCUCCCGAGAUAACUAUUCUCUCCCCAUCUUGCUACUAUACUUUAUACACAUUCCUGUGGUUGCACAGAUCACAGAGUAACAUUGUUAUUUGUCCACCGGGCUCUCCCGGACUAGGCUCCAAGCUCCCUGCAGGAGGGUUAACCACAGUC